This 408-nucleotide long non-coding RNA is filed under the name Setaria italica (foxtail millet). Its description in RNAcentral is "long non-coding RNA (SITA_LNC007183)". The record is from RNAcentral. Lineage: Eukaryota; Viridiplantae; Streptophyta; Magnoliopsida; Poales; Poaceae.
GUCGAUGGAAACUGGAAAUGGUGGGGAAAAUUCAUGGCCACAACGAGUGUUCUUGACUCUCGAGCAACAAGGAGGCUCUCCGACGAACGGGAAGGGACGAUAUUGAAUCAGAUCAGGAAAAAUCUCAGUACAAUUGGGAUGCUCUAUGCUAUUGGUCCGGCGAUUUGGAGACAUACGGUUUGCAAAACCCUUUGUGACACAAUGGCAUGCCAAACUCUUUUAAGCUGAACAAAUUGUACACUAGACUAUACCAGGAUUAUGCACUUUUAAAGUGUGUAUAUAAACACACUUAGAGAGUUGCUCAAAUAAAAACCUAAGGUUUCGUUUGGACUCUCCACACUUAGAGACUUGCUGUAAACACUUACCCAAACCUUAUGUAGUAUUCUCCAAACCUUAGGUAUAUUCCAC